This 874-nucleotide ribosomal RNA is filed under the name uncultured bacterium. Its description in RNAcentral is "bacterial SSU rRNA". It matches the Rfam family "Bacterial small subunit ribosomal RNA", at positions 622 to 1498 of the family's 1533-position model. The record is from RNAcentral.
CGCCAUCUCAAAUGUAUUCCGUGCGCUUAGAGAGCCAAGAGAAUCACGAAUUAUAUCCGUGAACUGGGAAGUAUAAGCAGCACCCCAACGCCCAGGGGGAUUUGAUAUUUUUCCACAGGCCGCUGAGGCGUGUGAGCCUGGGGAGCUAACAACAUUAGAUAUCUUGGUCCUCCACUUUAACACACGAUGAUAAUGAGGUGUGGUAGUACUGUCCCUCCUCCGUGUUGCAGGUAAAUCAUAUAAGUAUGUUACUUGGGGAGUACGAGCGAAAGGUUGAAACUCUAGUGAUUGGACUGGGCCCCGCACACGCAGCGGAUUAUGUGGUUUAAUUAGCCGCAACGCGAUGAACCUUACCAGGAUUUGACAUCCUAAUAACGAAGCAGAGAUGCAUUAGGUGCCCUUCGGGGAAAGUAGAGACAGGUGGUGCAUGGUUGUCGUCAGCUUGUGUCGUGAGAUGUGGGGUUAAGUCCCGCAACGAGCGCAACCCAUAUUGUUAGUUGUUAUCCAAGAGCAGUAUAGUGAGACUGCCGUUGACAAAACGGAGGAAGGCGGGGACGACGUCAAAUCAUCAUGCCCUUUAUGUCCUGGGUUACACACGUAAUACAAUGGUUGUCAACAGAGGGAAGCAAUCCCGAGAGGUGGAGCAAAUCCCUAAAAACGGUCUCAGUUCGGAUUGCAGGCUGCAACUCGCCUGCAUGAAGCUGGAAUUGCUGGUAAUCGCGGAUCAGCAUGCCGCGGUGAAUACGUUCCCGGGCAUGGUACACACCGCCCGUCCCCCCAUGAGAGUCGGGAACACCGGAAGUCCGUAUUCUAACCGCAAGGAGGCAGUGACUCAAGGUGAGUCCGGUAACUGGGGUGAAGUCGUAACAAGGUA